GUGACCCAGCUGGGCAUAUUCCCCAAUAGCUGCCCCCUUGUUAUUUCCUUAGGAGGGUUUCAUUAUCUUUUUAAUUUUGCUCUUUGAGCCUCUGUGAAUAGUAAGAGAAAAGGGCUAUUUUCUCUUCCAAAAGCAGGACAUUCCAUUUGGGGCUCAGGAGCAACAUGACAUCCUGUUCUGAAUGUGUCUUACUUAGAAGGGCCUGGGAUUUUUACAGUUGAGUAUAACUGCAGAGGGCUCUCAAAACCUCAAGGGAAGGAAGAGGAAAUAAUCCCUAUGGAGAGAAAAAGAAAAGUUUGCUUAAGGAUAGCAGAAAAAAAAAAUGAUUCACCACUCAAAGAAAUUUAAGUCUAGGAAUGGGUUGAAAAAGGUGAAAUGCCUCAAGGUUGAAGGGGAACUUUAAAAAUACAUUGGUAGCCAGGAGAACUACGUGGUCCAUAAAGCUCACCUGAGGGGGCCUCCAUUUUCCUCUCUAAGCACAUCGCCUGCCACUUUCCCUGGGUUCUCCUUCACCUGCAGCUACACUGGCUUUUCUGGUUCUAAAGUUCCCCUGAUGUUCUCACCUCAGGUCCUCCUUUUUACUUCCUCCAACAGAGAGAAACUUCUUCCUCAGGAUAUCCACAGGCUUCUUUGCUUUGCUUCACUGAGGCCUUUGAGGAAAUAGAAUCCCAUUAGAUGACUUUCUUGAUCUCACAUAAAAUAACCUCCUUCUGUCAUCCUGUUAUCUUCAGAGUUUUCACUACCUGAUUUUAUAUUUGCUAUUAUUGUCCCUCCACUAGAAUGGGAGUUCCAUGAGGACAGGAUGUUUUUUUCCUAGAUCACCACUGACUGGGUCCCAGCAUCUGUGCACUGACCAGCACCAAAGUUUAUGGAACUCAGUAAACCUUUAUUGAGAGGAUGGAUGGAUGGAUGGAUGGAUGGAUGGAUGGAUGGAUGGAUGGGACAGGAUGCAUGCCCCUCAGCCUCACAUCCUGCUUAACUUUUGUGACAUGGAACUCACUAAUGCUGACUGCCUAGAAGCCUGAUGAAGGGUAUGCCCUGAGGGACUUUGCCAAAGAAACCUCUCUGGCAGAAGAAAUUUGAUCUUGGAUUGUGGUGAAUUUUUGUUUCCUAUUGUAACCUGAGAAGUGUGUGGUUUUUCUUCCUAAGCAAGA
Molecule: long non-coding RNA, 1154 nt
Filed under: Marmota monax (woodchuck)
Lineage: Eukaryota; Metazoa; Chordata; Mammalia; Rodentia; Sciuridae
Source: RNAcentral